UACAGAGGUGCCGAGCGUUAGGCGGAAUCACUGGGCUUAAAGCGUGUGUAGGCGGAUGCCUAAGUACCUUGUGAAAUCCCACGGCUUAACCGUGGAACUGCUGGGUAUACUGGCGAUCUUGGGCCAACUAGGGGCAGCUGGAACAAGCGGUGGAGCGGUGAAAUGCGUAGAUAUCGCUUGGAACGCCGAAGGUGAAAACAGGCUGCUGGGGUUGUGCCGACGCUGAGACACGAAAGCCAGGGGAGCAAACGGG
This 253-nucleotide ribosomal RNA is filed under the name uncultured bacterium. Its description in RNAcentral is "partial 16S ribosomal RNA". It matches the Rfam family "Bacterial small subunit ribosomal RNA", at positions 524 to 776 of the family's 1533-position model. The record is from RNAcentral.